Molecule: long non-coding RNA, 337 nt
Organism: Oncorhynchus tshawytscha (Chinook salmon)
Lineage: Eukaryota; Metazoa; Chordata; Actinopteri; Salmoniformes; Salmonidae
Source: Ensembl
GCUGGCUAGACUGCCUGGAACACAUGUGGAUUCAAUAUAGCAGGGAUGAGAUGCACUGAAGCUUAAGGAAGGUAAUGCAAUGCUGUAAUGUAAAGCUACUGAAACAUUGACAUUUAGUUUGAAAAGUUUGUGAAAUUACAGUAAAAUAAUUGGACAAUGACCUGCUUGUGAACUCAAUCAUAUUUUGGUGUCGCUUCUUUUUCUUUUUUUCCUCCUGUUGAGGUGAGUCCUGAACAAACAAACAAACACACUAGGAUUAGACCAGGUUGAGGUGAGUCCUGAACAAACAAACAAACACACUAGGAUUAGACCAGGUUGAGGUGAGUCCUGAACAAAC